GACGAACGCUGGCGGCGUGCUUAACACAUGCAAGUCGAACGGAAAGGCCCUGCUUUUGUGGGGUGCUCGAGUGGCGAACGGGUGAGUAACACGUGAGUAGCCUGCCCUUGACUUUGGGAUAACUUCAGGAAACUGGGGCUAAUACCGGAUAGGAGCUCCUGCUGCAUGGUGGGGGUUGGAAAGUUUCGGCGGUUGGGGAUGGACUCGCGGCUUAUCAGCUUGUUGGUGGGGUAGUGGCUUACCAAGGCUUUGACGGGUAGCCGGCCUGAGAGGGUGACCGGCCACAUUGGGACUGGGAUACGGCCCAGACUCCUACGGGAGGCAGCAGUGGGGAAUAUUGCACAAUGGGCGGAAGCCUGAUGCAGCAACGCCGCGUGCGGGAUGACGGCCUUCGGGUUGUAAACCGCUUUCGCCUGUGACGAAGCGUGAGUGACGGUAAUGGGUAAAGAAGCACCGGCUAACUACGU
RNAcentral lists this ribosomal RNA (467 nucleotides) under uncultured bacterium. Its description in RNAcentral is "partial 16S ribosomal RNA". It matches the Rfam family "Bacterial small subunit ribosomal RNA", at positions 28 to 506 of the family's 1533-position model. The record is from RNAcentral.